GUGCUUGCUUUGGGAGCACAUAUACUAAAAUUGGAACUCUACAGAGAAGAUUGAUUUGGCUUACAUGAGGAUGACACUCAAAUUUGUGAAUCAUUCCAUAUUUCU
Small nuclear RNA from Gracilinanus agilis (Agile Gracile Mouse Opossum), 105 nucleotides. The record is from RefSeq and is a predicted model, not a curated record. NCBI's taxonomy places the organism in Eukaryota, Metazoa, Chordata, Mammalia, Didelphimorphia, Didelphidae.